GAAGGAACUAGGCAAAAUGGUGCCGUAACUUCGGGAGAAGGCACGCUGACAUGUAGGUGAAGCCCCUGCGGGUGGAGCUGAAGUCAGUCGAAGAUACCAGCUGGCUGCAACUGUUUAUUAAAAACACAGCACUGUGCAAACACGAAAGUGGACGUAUACGGUGUGACGCCUGCCCGGUGCCGGAAGGUUAAUUGAUGGGGUUAUCGCAAGAGAAGCUCCUGAUCGAAGCCCCGGUAAACGGCGGCCGUAACUAUA
Molecule: ribosomal RNA, 255 nt
Filed under: Cronobacter turicensis 564
Lineage: Bacteria; Pseudomonadati; Pseudomonadota; Gammaproteobacteria; Enterobacterales; Enterobacteriaceae
Description: Large Subunit Ribosomal RNA; lsuRNA; LSU rRNA
Rfam family: Bacterial large subunit ribosomal RNA
Source: RNAcentral